This 2566-nucleotide long non-coding RNA is filed under the name Bemisia tabaci. RNAcentral describes it as "lncRNA ENSSSA1UGG007877". The record is from RNAcentral. Lineage: Eukaryota; Metazoa; Arthropoda; Insecta; Hemiptera; Aleyrodidae.
AUGGUUUUUUGUUUUCUAAAUCAAAUUAUAGGUGAAGAAAUAAACUCGAAAGUUUUGGAGACAAUCACUGAGAGUGACUUACACAUUUUACUACCCAGUGCCCCAUUUGGAGUGAAGAGAAAACUAAUUUUAAGUCGAGAUGAAUGGAUGAAAUCUAAACGAGCCCGAACCUCCACCCCAUCACUGAGCCCUCCAGAGAAUCCCAUUUGGUCCAGCUUAAGCCCCGUGACUGAAGUUAUUUCUUCUAAAAAUCCCAUCGAAACUGUUACUGCAGGUCAAAGUGUAAAUGAUAAUGUUUCUGCAGGAAACUUAACGACCCUUUUAAAUGAAUUUGAAGAAUCGGAAAGUGUAGUGAGUGAUGAUGACGAGUCGCACCCCAACCAAGAAAUGAGGGAAGAAAAUGAUGACAAUGCUCGUCAAGUUGAAGUUCCACCAAUAGCAACUCCAAAUUACUCUGCUUUAUUGGAUAAAGAGACAGCCAAGCAAAUUUUGAGUGUUCUAAACAAAACAUCAGCAGGGGUUGCCCUGCUUAGUUUAACUAACAGUCGUCUGGACAGUAGCCAGAGACAAAAACUGUGCCAACUCAUCAUUGAUAGUGAGUUAAAUGGUAAUUUAAAUACCAAAAUAACCUCAAGGCGGUUUAUUAGGUUAUCAAAAGGUAUUGCUACUCUUUUUACCAAAGAAGAUCAUAAAACUUACUACGUGCCUUACAGGAGGCUGCCAAAUAAGAAGAAGGUAAAUGCUCGUGGAAAGUUGAUUGGUCAUUACAACAACCUAAGACGGACCCUCAUUAAACUGAAUCUCAUUCGGAAAUACAAUGCGCAUUCUGCCCCUGCUCCCGCUGCAAAAGAUCCAGUAACCGAACACGAAGUUGACGAGAAACUUUUGGAUGAGCAGCAGUGGCUUACUAGUGCAAUAGAUCCUGCUAGUUUAGUCGAGGAAAGAUGGACUAACACAGCUCGUUUAAGACUUGGGGAACUCGAAGAUAAUCAUGAUGAUGAUGCUACAGCAGUAUAUUCUUACAUGAAUAAAUACCCAGCCAUCAAAAGACCUUCAUUUAAGAAACUGUUUGACAUUGAUUUCAAGUUUAAGUUUGCAGACAAAGAGAAUGCGCUUUUCGACUCCUGGCCUCUCAUCGAAGAAAAAAUUUAUGCUCUUGUCGCCAAAAAAGAUAGGAAGUUCCAACAAGCUGUAACGAAGGAAGGCAUACACCUAUCUGUACCCACCACAGAUCCUAGGUUUCGAACUGUAAACGGACUUUUGCUGCUGUCUCGGCUGUUGCCUAUCCCAAGAGCCAUACAAGGAAGUAUAAAGAAGAAGAAGAAUGAACUCUGGCGCCCUUCAAGGAUUGAGGUUCAAAAUGGUUUUUUACUAAUCGCUGAUGAGUCAAGAAUCGACGAAGCUUUAACUUUACGUCGUCGGAAGCAUGAGGCAUACGGUGAUGUCGGAUUCCAAGAAGCCGGACGUCGUGGCGACUUGCGAAGACAACCUCGCUAGAGCAGUGGAGAUUCAACUGGAGGCGUACCGGGAUGGCGACGUCUCGCUGGGGGACGCUUUGUCCCCGACAAUCGCCCUCCUCCUAGAGGCCAAGACGGAGCGGGAGAGAGCUAUGAAAAGGAGGAGCUCCUCAUCAGCCGGCAGUCUAGGCUGCAGCACAACGCCUGGAACGUAAGUUGAAUACAUAGUUUUGUGCACGUAGAGGCAUCGGCGGAGGUAGUCGGUAAAGGGGCAGAAUAAGGUUGCGUGGCUGUCGAGAGAAUUAUCCCUUAUUAAUCGAUCCUCAUGGUAAUAUAAGAUUAUUACGUAAAAAAUUAUUCCUUCUGUUGUGUCUUGACAUGUUUCGAUUUCAGGUGUAUAUUCCUUUCGAAUGAUUCAUUCCUUGGAGGAGCCGGGCAUUCGGUUGGAUUUUUUCUUUCUUUCUCGUUGCCUCAAUAUCAUCAAAGGAAAAGAGAAGCCAACAGCCAAGACCUAAAAAUUAACUCUCACCAUGCUGUGGGUAUGUUGGCUGGGACCUGGGAUAAAGUUACGCCCGCCUCGAUCGAUUCAGAACUAUUUCGCGAAAGCCGGAAUUUGCAAAAAAGUGCCAAAACAAAAGAAGACCCCGGACUCCGGAGUCGUCGGCUGUAGUUUCCGAUGAUGACAUGGUGAUAGAUGAAGUUCUGUCCGAAAUUGAAGACGAAGAUGACGAGGACGCAAUGUUAGUCGAAAAUGUGCCAUCCGAUGAAGUUCUUUUCAGCGAACUUCGUGAAUUUAUUCGUAAAGAUUCGACGACCACUCUCGACUCCUACAUCAAUGCUGACGACGAGGCUGAUAAUGCUCCUCAGGUGAGAAUCGAUGAGCUUGACGAAGGGCUCCCUCCGGAGGCACCCGAAUCAUCCGAAGAGCCCUUUGUUGAAAAAGUCUCCCCCAUGUUUGUACUGGAGGCAAUCGGAACUUCGAAAAAUUUUCCGGCUGAACAUGGCAUCGAUGGACAGGCCAUGAAUCUUCAAAAAUUUGAGGAAGCAGUUCAGCUAGUGGGCUUAGGAGAAUAGAAUCAAAGUGUCAUCUUGAAGUUUUUUCAAAAGAA